GCACAUUUUUGGUACGCUGCUAGAGGGAUGACUCGGUUCGAAACGCCGAAGAAGGACGUGACAAGCAACGAAAUGCUCCGGCGAGUCGCACGUAGGCUUUGAACCGGAGAUGUCCGAAUGAGUCUUCUCUUUGAUGGGCCAGUCAUGGCCAGGGAACGCAGGGAAUUGAAGCGUCUUAGUACCUGUAGGAAACGAAACCAAUUGGGAUGCUGUGAGUAUCAGCGAGAAAAAGCAGCACAGUUCAAACUGAAUCCCCUGCAGUAAUGUGGGGGAGAUGUAGUGUAGCGGACUUUCCGUAGGGCCGUUUUCCUGAUCUGAAGUCUGCUGGAACGCAGCACAGAACAGGGUGAAAGUCCCGUAAGAGACUGGAGAACGGCCUGGGGAAGUAUCCCGAGUACUGCUCCUUGGAAAUGGAGCGGGAAGCUGGGGGGCAUUAACCUCCAAAACUAAAUACGUUUCGAAACCGAUAGCAAACGAGUACCGUGAGGGAACGUUGAAAAGCACCCCUAACCGGGAGUGCAAAGAACCUGAAAUCUAGCAGCUUUAGUGGGGUAGGGCUCUUCGGAGUUCUACCGUGCGUUUUGGAUAACGAGCCAGAGAGUGCAUCUCGGUGGCGAGGAUAAUCUGUAAAGGAGCAUCCGUAGCGAAAGCGAGACCCCGCAGCUUGCAAGGGGGAAGGUAUGAUAAGUGCCUUAAGUCACCGGGUUGUGACCUGAAAUCGGUCGAUCUAUUCCUGGGUAAGGUGAAGCGGGGGUAAAACCUCGUGGAGGCCUGCAGAGGUUCUGCGGACAAACGUUCUUCUAACUUGGGAAUAGGGGUGAAAAGCCAAUCGAGACCGGCGAUAGCAGGUUCCUGCCGAAAUUGACCUUAGUCAAGUCUCGGACGAGAUCGGUAGGGUUGUAGAGCCACGGAUAGGGGGUUUAGGCGGGGAAACCUGUCGGUCCCUUGUCCAACUCCAAAUGCCCUCCCAUCGCAGACUUCGGGAAACAGGGGAUCUUGGGGUAAACUUGAUCUCCGAGAGGGGAACAACCCAAUCUAUGGUUAAGGCCCCUAAACGCCAGCUCAGUGAGAAAGGGUAAACGGUGUUUAUGACCUGAGACAGCAAGGAGGUUGGCUUAGAAGCAGCCAUCCUUUAAAAAGUGCGUAACAGCUUACUUGUUGAGAUCAUAAGCCCGGAAGAUUGACGGGUCUAAGCUGGUUGCCGAUACCAUAGACCACGAAAGUGGGGGUAGGCAGGUGUCCUUUUUGGGUGGAAGCUUUCUCUUAAGAGGAAGUGGACCGGAAAGGAAUAAUUAUUCUGGCAGUAGUAGGAACUUAGCAGGGUGAGAAUCCCUGUCAUCGAAAGGGCAAGGGUUCCUUGGCAAUGCCAAUCAGCCAAGGGGUAGUCGGUCCUAACCUAACUCCUAACGGAGUUACGGGAAAGGGAAAGUGGUUAAUAUUCCACUACUCUUUCAGUAUGUGCGGCAACGCAAGCUCUAUUCUUGACGUUUUGGAAGAGGCCAACCCAUCCCGUCGGGUGGGUUAAUGUAGACAGGUCGCUGGAGUAUCGUAAUGAUGAGAAAGCGACCAAACUGCAGAUGAGCAGGCCUAUGGUCUGUUUGGCUGGUUUCUGGAGCCCCUGAAAAGAGAAUAGAGAAAAAUCUGAAGGAACCGUACCCAGAACCAACACAGGUGCCCCUAGGUGAGAAGCCUAAGAUGUGAGAGUGUAAACUCGUUCAGGGAACUCGGCAAAUUAGUCCUGUACCUUCGGUAGAAGGGAUCCCUGCGUUCGUAUCCGUAUGGGUGCGAUUGCAGGGCGCAGUGACAAGGGCGGUCCGACUGUUUAACAAAAACACAACUUUCUGCUACGCCGUAAGGCUGUGUAUAGAAGGUGAUACCUGCCCAGUGCCAGUACUUCAAACUUCGGUUCAACGGAGCUAAGAGCUGGUAAACGGCGGGAGUAACUAUAACUCUCUUAAGGUGAAUACGUUGCCUUAAGUCCCAAUGUUAAACGGACCCAUUCAAGAAGCUGGGAUAAUAAUCUGGCUAUAUGCUGGAACAUCUUGAUGAACGUUUCUAGUAACAUUUUUUGGUGACAAAGAAUGUAUCUAAAAAUGAAACGGGAAAGACAAUCAGCAGGAAAGAUUUCUCUCGUGAGAAAAAUCCUCAGAGACUGAAUGCCGGAAAUCCGUAAAGGAUUAAGAUACAGUCCGAACACAGCAGCGAUGUUGUGAGAUCAGCAGAAAUGCCUGAUCCCAUUCUUGAAAAAGAAUGUGUAACAAAAUGAGCGUAAUACCUUGUCGGUUGAAUGCCGACUUGCAUGAAUGGUAUAACGAGAUCGCCACUGUCCCGAGCGAGUGUCUCCCGAACACACCGUCCUGGUGUAAAGGCCAGGGUUCUCCAGUGGGAAGCGAAGACCCCGUGAAACUUUACUGUAGCCUGUCGCUGUGGUACGGUUCUGGUUGUAUAGCGUAAGUAGGAGCCGUUUGAGGCCAUCUCCGUCAGGGGGUGGUUUAGGCACCAAUGUAACACUACUCUCUCAGAACUGUAUCACUUACUCUGCAAAGAGGACACCGAUUGGUGGACAGUUUGGCUGGGGUGGCACGC
Molecule: ribosomal RNA, 2586 nt
Filed under: bacterium
Lineage: Bacteria
Description: partial 23S ribosomal RNA
Rfam family: Archaeal large subunit ribosomal RNA
Source: RNAcentral